CUUAUUUUUUCAAUUGGGAUUAAUCCCACCCUCAAUUCCCACUUGUCAAACACCCCCUAUUGAAUACACCAAUAAUCUACUUCUCCCUCGUCAAUUCUCCUUCUCGACGAUGACUCUUCUCGCGACGCCGCCUUCAAGAGCUUCCGCUAGGUCGCCCUCGGUCUAGAUCUUCUUCCUCCCUCCAGCCGCGAGUCAAGGAUUCCUCCUUUAUCCUCUCGGCUGCAAGUCAGGGCUGCUGGCCACUGCUCCAAGGGUUGACUCCUCCUUCAAGGCUUUGGGCGACUCCAAGAAUCAGCAUCACUCAAAGGAUUUUCGGCCCUCACGGUUACCAUAACUUCUACUUUCUUUCUCUUCUUUCUGAUUUUUAUUCAAUUUUUUUAAUACGGAUAUUGAUAACGAUUAUUUUUUAAUACGGAGGAAGAGGCUUGAUUUUUCUCUCUACUUUGAUUGUUGUUGUUAUUGUAGUUUAAUGGAAAAGGUUUUUGAUUAAAAUUAGGUCGUGGUGCGAAUUUAGGUUAAAAUUCUAAAAAUUGUUGUGAUUGUAGUGUUCAUCCUGGAUUUUUAAUUGAAAUUAGACAAUUGUACAAUACUAAGUUAAAAUUAAUUGCAGCAUUUUAGUCAAUUACUUGGAAUCAACUUUGUUAUUGCAGGCACUUUCAACAAUUCAAAACCUUUCAUCCAAAAUCUGAUGAUAACAUGAACCACUGACAAUUAGAAUAAUAAGCAAAACUAAAUUGGGAUUGCAAAAGUAAAAACAGAGAAUGUAAAAUAUAGUCAUGAACAAUGGAUUGAAUUAGGAUGGACGCCUCACCACCUUAGAACAUACAAGAUCUAUGUUACAGUUCUUUGAAGUCAUUUUAUUGGCUUACCUUUUCGGUGCAUUGUGUAAUUUUCUUGUACUAGUAUUUAUUUUGGUUAUUGCCUUUAUUUAUUUGUGUUUAUGCAGUUGGUUUGCAGAAAUUUCAGGUACGUAGCUUAUGAGAGACACUCUGAGGCAUUGGAUAUCCUUAAGUCAUGUGCCUAUCUCUAAUUGCAACAUGAUCAGGUCUUCUAUAUUGAACACCAACUUAUAAUUUUUGUUCAAUUUUUAUUCAAUUGUAUGGGAGAGUGCGGUCCAUUUGCUGAAAGUUAUGCUAAUUUUCUAAUUAAUGGCUUGUGUCGUUGUAGGGAUAGUUAACAAUAACUCUACUUUGUUUCUAUAAGUUGUUUCCUAUGAACUUAUGAAGCUUUGGGGAUGAUAUUAUACUUCUAUUAUUUGGAGAAAUAGAAACCUAGGUGUCAUACUUUAUCUUCAAACUGUUAUAUAUGAAAAUUCCUUCUCCCUAUAUGAAUCUUAUACGAAGUAUAAUUAUCCUACUGAACGGGAGUUUAAUCAAUCUUGUUGAUGAAUUUGUUUAUGAUUGGAAGGUUACAUAAUAUUAAGUUAUUAACUAAUCUCUUAAAAUAGGGAGCUGCCCAUUGUUUAGACAGCCAUAUACAUCCAUGCAUGGUCAACCUUUUGUCGUUUUGCUUUUGUACCUAUUGAAAUAUGUGAAUUUGUCCAAAUGUGACUAUGUGAGAUUGUGAGGCCUGAUUGUAUCUGUGAACUAAAUGAUGUUCUGCAUAUCUAUUUAAAAUUUUAUUCACUAUUAAUUCUGCUACUGUUUUGUUUGGGAUCUAAUUUCGUCUUAGACAAACUGGCUUUGAGCUUCUGAACUCUAUCAAUGGAGAGUAAGCUCUUUUAGCUCCACAAUUGUCGUUGCAUUAUUAUCUACAUGUUUGGAAGCUGUAGCUCAAAUGCUUUAACUCUUGAGAGUAUUGCAUAUGAGUUGUCACUUGUCAGUAUGAUUGUCUAUUAAUUUCUACUCUUCUUUCUAGGGUUCUAAGUGUAUUUUACCUCUAGUCUGUAGGGCCGAAAUAGAAAUGGAUUGGAGCAGGCCUUACAAGUUUUGAAAUCAAAGAUUUAAAAAUACAAACUGGGCGUCGACCACUGAACCACCUAAGACAAAACCGCUUACAUGUUAACCCUCAUUCCAUGCUUGCUAGCUCUUGUUAUCAUAAAAAAUGGGGUUCUCUUAGCUUGAAAAGUUUCACGUUUGCUUGCUCUACCUCAAUGUUCCUUCAGACUAUGCUUACAUGAUUUCGUUGUGUUUUUUAUGCUGAAUUUUCGUAUGUUUCAAUAAAUUUGUGAGUUUUGGCGUAAUUUUUCU
Long non-coding RNA from Chenopodium quinoa (quinoa), 2189 nucleotides. RefSeq lists it as uncharacterized. NCBI's taxonomy places the organism in Eukaryota, Viridiplantae, Streptophyta, Magnoliopsida, Caryophyllales, Amaranthaceae. The transcript has 2 exons. The record is from RefSeq and is a predicted model, not a curated record.